CUUUACGGUCACACUACCCUGAGAACGCCCGAUCUCGUCUGAUCUCGGAAGCUAAGCAGGGUUUGGCCUGGUUAGUACUUGGAUGGAGACCACCUGGGAAUACCAGGUGCCUGUAAGCU
Ribosomal RNA from Astyanax mexicanus (Mexican tetra), 119 nucleotides. NCBI's taxonomy places the organism in Eukaryota, Metazoa, Chordata, Actinopteri, Characiformes, Acestrorhamphidae. The record is from Ensembl.